This 253-nucleotide ribosomal RNA is filed under the name uncultured bacterium. Its description in RNAcentral is "partial 16S ribosomal RNA". It matches the Rfam family "Bacterial small subunit ribosomal RNA", at positions 524 to 776 of the family's 1533-position model. The record is from RNAcentral.
UACGUAGGGUGCAAGCGUUGUCCGGAAUUAUUGGGCGUAAAGGGCUCGUAGGCGGUCCGUCACGUCGGGAGUGAAAACUCGGGGCUUAACCCCGGGCCUGCAGUGGGUACGGGCAGACUAGAGUGCGGUAGGGGAGACUGGAAUUCCUGGUGUAGCGGUGAAAUGCGCAGAUAUCAGGAGGAACACCGAUGGCGAAGGCAGGUCUCUGGGCAUUAACUGACGCUGAGGAGCGAAAGCAUGGGGAGCGAACAGG